This is a small nuclear RNA of Nomascus leucogenys (northern white-cheeked gibbon), 107 nucleotides long. NCBI's taxonomy places the organism in Eukaryota, Metazoa, Chordata, Mammalia, Primates, Hylobatidae. The record is from Ensembl.
GUGCUUGUUUCAGCAGCACAUAUACUAAAUUGGAAUGAUACAGAAAAAGAGUUGCAUGGCCAUUGCACAAGAGUUACACACAAAUUCAAGAAGCACCCCAUAUGUUU